RNAcentral lists this transfer RNA (70 nucleotides) under Aphaenomurus interpositus. RNAcentral's name for it is "tRNA-Glu". The record is from RNAcentral. Lineage: Eukaryota; Metazoa; Arthropoda; Collembola; Entomobryomorpha; Tomoceridae.
AAUUUUAUAGUUUAAUUAAAACUUUUCAUUUUCAUUGAAAGAAUAUAAAAUUUAAUUUUUAUUAAAAUUA